RNAcentral lists this ribosomal RNA (495 nucleotides) under Lodderomyces parapsilosis. RNAcentral's name for it is "eukaryotic LSU rRNA". The stretch from base 155 to 308 matches the Rfam family "5.8S ribosomal RNA". The record is from RNAcentral. Lineage: Eukaryota; Fungi; Ascomycota; Pichiomycetes; Serinales; Debaryomycetaceae.
GGUCUUCGAAUGGAAGGGGCUUACUGCAUUUUUUCUUACACAUGUGUUUUUCUUUUUUUGAAAACUUUGCUUUGGUAGGCCUUCUAUAUGGGGCCUGCCAGAGAUUAAACUCAACCAAAUUUUAUUUAAUGUCAACCGAUUAUUUAAUAGUCAAAACUUUCAACAACGGAUCUCUUGGUUCUCGCAUCGAUGAAGAACGCAGCGAAAUGCGAUAAGUAAUAUGAAUUGCAGAUAUUCGUGAAUCAUCGAAUCUUUGAACGCACAUUGCGCCCUUUGGUAUUCCAAAGGGCAUGCCUGUUUGAGCGUCAUUUCUCCCUCAAACCCUCGGGUUUGGUGUUGAGCGAUACGCUGGGUUUGCUUGAAAGAAAGGCGGAGUAUAAACUAAUGGAUAGGUUUUUUCCACUCAUUGGUACAAACUCCAAAACUUCUUCCAAAUUCGACCUCAAAUCAGGUAGGACUACCCGCUGAACUUAAGCAUAUCAAUAAGCGGAGGAA